AACGAGCGCAACCCUUGACUUUAGUUGCCAGCAGGUUGUGCUGGGCACUCUAGAGUGACUGCCGGUGACAAACCGGAGGAAGGUGGGGAUGACGUCAAAUCAUCAUGCCCCUUAUGACCUGGGCUACACGCGUACUACAAUGGCCGGUACAACGGGCUGCGAAAUCGCGAGAUGGAGCCAAUCCCAACAAAGCCGGUCUCAGUUCGGAUUGCAGGCUGCAACUCGCCUGCAUGAAGUCGGAAUUGCUAGUAAUCGCGGACCAGCAUGCCGCGGUGAAUACGUUCCCGGGCCUUGUACACACCGAAUCACUAGUGAAUUCG
RNAcentral lists this ribosomal RNA (320 nucleotides) under uncultured Paenibacillus sp. RNAcentral describes it as "bacterial SSU rRNA". It matches the Rfam family "Bacterial small subunit ribosomal RNA", at positions 1091 to 1413 of the family's 1533-position model. The record is from RNAcentral. Lineage: Bacteria; Bacillati; Bacillota; Bacilli; Caryophanales; Paenibacillaceae.